This 2855-nucleotide ribosomal RNA is filed under the name Salinigranum rubrum. RNAcentral describes it as "bacterial LSU rRNA". It matches the Rfam family "Archaeal large subunit ribosomal RNA". The record is from RNAcentral. Lineage: Archaea; Methanobacteriati; Methanobacteriota; Halobacteria; Halobacteriales; Haloferacaceae.
CUGGUGAAUGGCUCGGCUCGAGAGCCGACGAAGGACGUGCCAAGCUGCGAAAAGCCUGAGGGAGCCGCACGGAGGCGAAGAACUCAGGAUCUCCGAAUGGGAAUCCCCACCGCAAUUGCCUCGCGCAAUGGGGAACGCUCCGAAUUGAAACAUCUCAGUAGGAGCAGGAAAAGAACGCAAAAGCGAUGUCGUCAGUAACGGCGAGUAAACGCGACACAGUCCAAACCGAAUCCCUCACGGGACAUGUGGUGUUCGGACUGACUCUCACUAUCCGACCAUCGAACUGAAGUCUCCUGGAACGGAGCACGAUACAGGGUGACAGUCCCGUAAGUUCGAUCAGUACGAUACGCGUCAGUUCCAGAGUAGCAGGGGUUGGAUAUCCCUUGUGAAGGUCCCAGGCAUCAACUGGGAAGACUAAACACUCCUCGAGACCGAUAGCGAACAAGUAGCGUGAGCGAACGCUGAAAAGCACCCCGAGAAGGGCGGUGCAAUAGGGCCUGAAAUCAGUCAGUGAUGGAACGACGGGGCAUACAAGGUCCCUCGACGAACGACCGACGCGCGAGCGUCCAGUAGGACUCGAGGGAAGCCGGUGUCGCGUCGUACGUUUUGAAAAACGAACCAGGGAGUGUGCCUGUCUGGCAAGUCUAACACGAGCAUCGUGGAAGGCGUAGGGAAACCGAUACGGCCGCAGUCUUCGGACCAGGGCCACCGUGUUCAAGCGCGGGGAGUCAGACGGGCACGACCCGAAACCGAGUGAUCUACGCGAGGGCAGGGUGAAGCGUGGCGAAAGCCACGUGGAAGCCCGCUAGGGGUGGUGUCCUACAAUACCCUCCCGUGACCCGCGCGUAGGGGUGAAAGGCCCAUCGAACUCGGCAACAGCUGGUUCCAGUCGAAACAUGUCGAAGCAUGACCUCAGCAGAGAUAGUACGCGAGGUAGAGCGACCGAUUGGGAGACCCGCCUCCGAGAGGAGUCGGCCUCCCUGUCGAACUCCGAACUUGCGUACGUCGUAGAAGCUGGGAGUCCGGUGUCCCGGGGUAAGCUUGGGCACCGUGAGGGAGACAACCCAGAGGUAGGUUAAGGACCCCAAAUGUGGAUUAAGUGCGACCGAAGAUUGUCUCGAGCCCUAAACAGCCGGGAGGUGAGCUUAGAAGCAGCUACCCUCUAAGAAAAGCGUAACAGCUUACCGGCCGAGGUUCGAGGCGUCGAAAAUGAUCGGGGCUCAAAUCCACUUCCGAGACCUACCAGUCCUCACCAGAGGAACCUCGUAGACUGGCGUUCUGUACGGGUGGAAGCACGGGUGAGAACUCGUGUGGACCGCACAGAAACGAAAAUCCUGGUCACAGUAGCAGCGAGAGUCGGGUGCGAACCCCGACGGCCUGAAGAGCAAGGGUUCCUCGGCACUGCCAAUCAGCCGAGGGUUAGUCGGUCCUAAGUGUGACCGUAACUCGAAUCACACAAAUGGGAAUCUGGUUAAUAUUCCAGAACCGUGUGCACUCAAAGUCGACGCUUUGGGGACCACCGAACCGGGCUUUCGCCCGGUCGAACUGAGGAAACUCGUGGAAGCCGUAAUGGCACGAAGCGAGCGAAGCUCAGGACAGCGCAAGUCGGUGUUACCCAGAGCCCGUGAAAAGACGAGCACAUCGUCCGUACCGAGAUCCGACACAGGUGCUCUGGCAGAGCAAGCCAAGGCCUGUCGGGACCAACCGACGUUAGGGAAUUCGGCAAUUUAGUCCCGUACGUUCGCAAUAAGGGAUGCCUGCCUUUGACGAGGCAGGUCGCAGUGACUCGGACGCUCCGACUGUCUAGUAACAACACAGGUGACCGCAAAUCCGCAAGGACUCGUACGGUCACUGAAUCCUGCCCAGUGCGGGUAUCUGAACACCAGGUACAACUGGACGAAGGACCCGUCAACGGCGGGGGUAACUAUGACCCUCUUAAGGUAGCGUAGUACCUUGCCGCUUCAGUAGCGGCUUGCAUGAAUGGAUCAACGAGAGCGUCGCUGUCCCAACGUUGGGCCCGGUGAACUGUACGUUCCAGUGCGGAGUCUGGAGACCCCCAAGGGGAAGCGAAGACCCUAUAGAGCUUUACUGCAGGCUGUCGCUGAGACGUGGUCGCUGAUGUGCAGGAUAGGUAGGAGGCGUUACACAGGUACCCGCGCUAGCGGGCCACCGAGCCAUCACUGAAAUACUACCCGUCAGUGACUGCGACUCUCACUCCGGGAGGAGGACACCGGUAGCCGGGCAGUUUGACUGGGGCGGUACGCGCUCGAAAAGAUAUCGAGCGCGCCCGAAGAUACCCUCACGCGGGUCGGAAACCCGCAGAAGAGUGCAAGAGCAAAAGGGUGUCUGACAGUGUUCUUCCUAACGAGGAACGCUGACGCGAAAGCGUGGUCUAGCGAACCUACGAGGUUCAUUCAUGGGACCCGUAGAUGACAGAAAAGCUACCUUAGGGAUAACAGAGUCGUCACCGGCAAGAGCACAUAUCGACCCGGUGGCUUGCUACCUCGAUGUCGGUUCCCUCCAUCCUGCCCGUGCAGAAGCGGGCAAGGGUGAGGUUGUUCGCCUAUUAAAGGAGGUCGUGAGCUGGGUUUAGACCGUCGUGAGACAGGUCGGCUGCUAUCUAUUGGGGGUGUGAAGACACCUGACGGGAACGCUCGUAUAGUACGAGAGGAACUACGAGUGGUGGCCACUGGUGUACCGGUUGUCCGAGAGGGCAGUUGCCGGGCAGCUACGCCACACGGGGUAAGAGCUGAACGCAUCUAAGCUCGAAACCCACCUGAAAAAGAGGUGUCACCGAGGUCACUCGUAGAAGACGAGUUCGAUAGACUCGGGGUGUACGCGACGAGGCAACGAGU